RNAcentral lists this ribosomal RNA (292 nucleotides) under uncultured bacterium. RNAcentral describes it as "partial 16S ribosomal RNA". The record is from RNAcentral.
GGACUACUGGGGUAUCUAAUCCUGUUCGCUCCCCACGCUUUCGCGCCUCAGUGUCAGUAACGUCCCAGCGAGCUGCCUUCGCUAUUGGUGUUCCUCCUGAUAUCUGCGCAUUCCACCGCUACACCAGGAAUUCCACUCGCCUCUUCCGUACUCUAGCCUCACAGUAUCCACCGGCUUUCAAAGGUUGAGCCUUUGACUUUCACAGCGGACUUAUGAGGCCACCUACGCGCGCUUUACGCCCAAUGAUUCCGGACAACGCUUGCUCCCUACGUAUUACCGCGGCUGCUGGCAC